UACCAGCCCCCUGAGUGAUAGGGACGACUAUUUAGCCUAAAGCGUCCGUAGCCGGCUUAGCAAGUCUUUCGUUAAAUCUGAUGACUUAAUCACCAGGCCGCGGAAGAUACUGCUAGGCUAGAGGGCGGGAGAGGUUGACGGUAGUCCCGGGGUAGGGGUGAAAUCCUAUAAUCCCGGGAGGACCACCAGUGGCGAAGGCGGUCAACUAGAACGCGCCUGACGGUGAGGGACGAAAGCUGGGGGAG
RNAcentral lists this ribosomal RNA (245 nucleotides) under uncultured archaeon. RNAcentral's name for it is "partial 16S ribosomal RNA". It matches the Rfam family "Archaeal small subunit ribosomal RNA", at positions 474 to 719 of the family's 1478-position model. The record is from RNAcentral.